UGUCCAUUAUGAGGUCAAGGCCAGCUCUUCCCGUGUCAUCAACAGCCCCCGGAGCACCCAGCCACUCUGAAGACGUGUUGAAUGACUGGACCAGAAGAUCCCUACCCACUCAAGCUCCUGCUACUCCUCUUCUCCCUGCACACGACCGUGUCCUCAACCCCAGGCUUCAGGAACCGCUCAGCUCAUGCUUUACAGAUGAAACCAAUAAAAUGUGAUAGAUGGGGACAAGAAAGGGACUAACACCCGCCAAUGUUUAUCCUGCACUAGGGGGUUGGCACAUUGAUACCCGGGACGUGAAAGCAGUGUUCCCAGCAUCACAUACCCAGGAGAGGGUACAGCCAGGACCCGAAGCCUCCAGUUACGGAAGGAAAAGGUCUGAGCCACUACAGAUGAUGUGCCAACCUGAAAUAAGAAUAGGAAGCUCGAUUUCCAGAUGAUUUAGAAAGAGAACUAAUAUACACCUGGCUGCAGACACAGUGAAUAUACCUCAGGGAUGUUCUCAGGAUGGAAAAUAAAAGAUGCUGAGGUCACUGCCCUUUCUAUCUAUUUUAGAAAAAGAAAAAAAAGUGUGAACUUAAUGAUGAAAUUAUUUGCAGUGCUCUGAAGGGUGGAUGGCAGAGCAGAGCAACUCUGAAGGCACUGAAAAGAGGUGGGAAGUCAGUUGGCACUUCAAAGACCCCAGGACCUUUGCACAACCCUGGGCAGAAGAGAAUGGAAAGUUCCAAUUGUGACAGAAACAGAAAUUCCCACAUCAGUGUGAGGUGGGGGCUCAGGGUCAGAUUUAUGGCAGUGGAAAUAAAAUAAAGCAUGAUAUUUAUUGCCCCCCUACAUUUGUGCGCCCAGCUAUCCACAUUUUUUUUCCCGGAGUUGGUCAAUGUGGGCUUAAGGGAAAUGUAACUCAUUUUAAUAUUUGCUUAAACCAAAUGGAAUAUAGAAAGGAAAUAAAUCUGCUGCCAAGCCAUCAAGCUGUACAUUUUAAACCCAAAAUAAAGGGCCUGAUGGAUUUACAUUA
Molecule: long non-coding RNA, 1012 nt
Organism: Herpailurus yagouaroundi (jaguarundi)
Lineage: Eukaryota; Metazoa; Chordata; Mammalia; Carnivora; Felidae
Exons: 3
Source: RefSeq, a predicted model, not a curated record